UGCUCGGAAGCUUAGUUGGUAAAGCGCUCGAUAGGCAUACAAGAGUCCUGAGUUCAAUUCCUAGCUGAGCAC
This 72-nucleotide transfer RNA is filed under the name Aedes aegypti (yellow fever mosquito). It matches the Rfam family "tRNA". Rfam says of the family: Transfer RNA (tRNA) molecules are approximately 80 nucleotides in length. The record is from Rfam by way of RNAcentral. Lineage: Eukaryota; Metazoa; Arthropoda; Insecta; Diptera; Culicidae.